Molecule: unclassified non-coding RNA, 3330 nt
Filed under: Daphnia magna
Lineage: Eukaryota; Metazoa; Arthropoda; Branchiopoda; Diplostraca; Daphniidae
Description: zwei Ig domain protein zig-8, transcript variant X6
Source: RNAcentral
GCACGUUGUUGAUCAUAUUCAAAUGAGAGAUGACGAACAGUCUGGGUUCGCGCGUUGGAGAAGCUUCACGUACUUCUAAAAACUCUCUGAGAAUAGUGAAAAUUUUCAUUAAACCACGUGCCCUUGCCCAAAAACUUUUAUUUUUUUGUGACCUUGCCUUCUUGCUAUGCAUGGCAAAAUUCUCGAAGGAAGAGUGAUAUUCAGUUUGAGAUGAGAAACACGUGCAAGAAACCUCGAGCGUGGCUCGUAGGGAACAUUUGAACACAUUAACUUUCAGCAGUGCUCUCCAUCUCUGUGGCUUGGCCUACCACAUGAAAAUAAGUGAGAUUAUUUGUUUGGGCCCAUGCAGUUUGUGCAUCAGGUCUGCUUUGUUCACCAUGCUGUAACUAUUCUGGAUCCAAGGUGGCUGUGGAUCAAAUGUCCACCAUGAGCCACGUUUUCAACAUUUCCACGAGAUUGCACGGCGCUGCAGCGUUACCUUUCAGGAAGAACCACUUGGCCAAGAUUCCUUUUCUCUUCAAGAGAUGGGCGGGCACUUCCGUAUUCGACGCCGACAAAAUCUUUCACCACCAACGAGACAAGUCAUCUGUCACGCGAUUUCGGGCACGUUCACGUAGAAAAAAAUUCAAAUUUUUUUGGAGCCGGAUUUCAAGAACGGAAGAAUGGACUAUGCAGAUACAUCAAGACCGAAGUUAAUUUGCUGGUCAAAUAUUGAAACGAGAGACACGGCAAUCAAAGAAGAAAUACAAACGAUGGGAUUACACCACAAAAAAAAUCAAGAUAUGCCUAAAUAAACAGCAUCCCAUUCCAAAUGUUCCAACGUGAAAUCCCACAUGCGGCGUGGGGUUCAUCCAAAACAAGAGCAAGGCUGGAUCAGUGAACCGUUCCAAAGAAACAGCGGCUGUUCAUCAAGACGUUUCGACGAAUCGGGAGCUUCUCCGCCUAGCGGAUGCGUCCGCUUCUGGCUGAUUAUCGGGACCAAACGGUCUUGGAUGGAUUGUGACGCGGCCGCCAACCAACAACCACAAUGAACCAGCGGUUCCAGAUCAGACGGUUGUUUACGAUGCAGUGGCUCCUGAUGGCUCUCGCUUUUCUUCUAGUGGCUACCGCAUCCAAUCGCGAGCGAAGCGGCACGCAUCAGCAGUUCGUUCGCAAUAAUCAUCACCACAGACGGAACGGCAAUUCUACGUCGAGAAAUGCUGGCGGGAAACGAGCGGCCGUGCAAGUCACGUCACCGGUCCCCGACUCGUCGCCGUACCUCGCCAGCGACAACGCACCGCCAAAGACGAUCAUCUCCGUUCAGACGUCGCUCAACGGCAACAUCUUUAUGCAUUGCCCAGUGGACAUGACCGAGGACUUCCAGGUUUCUUGGGUGCGGCUACCCGACUGGCGAAUCGUUGCCUCCGGACGGAAUAUUUACAACAAGGACGAGCGGUUCCGAGUUUUGCAUGUCGAAGGCACCGACGAAUGGACGUUACAGAUCAAAUACGCUGCAUUGGUCGAUCAAGGCCUUUAUGAAUGCCAGGUAUCGACCGAAACGGGCAUCAUGAUUUAUUACUACAACGUCAGUGUCAUCGUGCCGGACACGUCAAUCAUCGGUGGCAGUGAAUAUCACGUCGACAUGGGCAGCGCUAUCCAGUUGACUUGCAUCAUCAGAAAUAUUCCUCAGGAGCCACAGUUUGUCUUUUGGUAUCAUAAUGACCGGAUGAUCAAUUACGACUCGAUUACUGACAGCAGCGGUUCCAAAACAGCGAUGGACGAUGCGAGUAGCAGUUCACCGUCCAGCAGCCGGACAAAAGCCAGGGCUCGUCCUCGAGUCGAGGUCGUCACUGAAAUAGAAAGCAAUUCAAUGACGAACGACGGCGAGCAACGUGAAGGUGCAGCAGAUCGAAGUGUCACUAGCCAGUUGACGAUACGUCACGUAACUGACGUGGAUUCUGGCAACUAUACCUGCGCUCCAUCCAACGCCGAACCGGCCAGCACCAUGGUCUACGUCUCUGAAGGAGAUGAUGCUGCUGCCGCUAUUCAAGUGAGUGUCGGAGAAACGACUAACGUCAGCGAUGUUGUUCCAGCUAAUUCAGCCGUUUCAGCGGCUUCGUCGCCCAUUUCCACGGCGUCUGCCGCCACGUCGUCCGUCACGUCGUCGCUUGCCGUUCUCGUUUUUUGCUGCCUGACGCUGGCCAAUUGUCACAUCGGCCGAAGAUGAUUCCCUUUCCUUCUUUACUUCCGGAACGAUGGAAACGAUGGAAAAUAAUACCGUACCAAAAAGUCACACACAAAAACAAAAACAAAUGAGAAGAAAAAUAUUCAAGAAACAGAUUGAAAUUUUUUUUUUAAAUUCCCUCGCGGGGUUGUUUUCCCGGGUGAUGGGAAAGAACAUAAAAAAAAAAAAUAAAUAACCUACCGGAGAAACAUACAAUUACAAUCAAGUGAUUCUAUUGUGUGUGUGGGUGUGUGUUGUGUGGAUUUUGAUCGUCCAUUCGAAUCGCAUUCUCGAGCUGUUUUGAAUGCCAAUCUCCUCCUCUAAUUGAUUUCAAAGAUAUAUUUAUAAACAAGUAUAUACAUAAUUAUUAAUGAUAAUGACAAGUAGCAUGGGGUUGCGAUUCCUCUGCUGACACAUGUACAAUCUGGUGUUGAUUGACCCAACAUUUCAAUUCAGUUGCAUGUCAAAACAAAAACACACUGCUAUCCCCUUUCGUUCUGAUUUUUCAUCAAUUGUGAAUCUCUUUUUGUUGUCCUCCACUAAUUGGGAUUCCAUUUAUGAUAUUUGUAUGUCUUCAUCUUUUUCAAAAGAUAGAUCCACAAAAAAUGUUGGUUGACUGAUUGGGGGAUGUGUGCAUUGUUUCAUGAAUCAGGUAACUUUAUUUUAUUUUAUUUUGUUUUAUAUCGUUGUGGUUUUUCUUUUUUGUUUUGUUUUGUUUUCACAAAAGAAAAAUGAAAAGAAACAAAAAAUGUAUUACUCGAGCCCAGAUCUAUUGUAGUAAAUGCAUGUCAUUUUGCUUAUCCAUCCUUAACGAUGGGUAGCUCAAAUAGUCUGCAACUAACUACUUUAGUACCUGAGGCAACUGCUAAAAAUUAAUAACCAGUGUUCAAAGAUGGCCGAAACACUGGCAUAUUGUAAAUUGACAAAUACUUUGUUUUCAUGACGUCGUUCAUUGUAAAGAAUGGACCGUCGUCUUUUUAACUACAUCCAAGUUUGCCCUAAAAAAAAAUGUGAAGCCCUGAUCACACGUCUCAACAGCGCGCAUAAUCUUCAUUAUCUGUGUAUCUGCUGCGUGAUGGUUGUCAAGUGCGGAGCAACAGCCAAUACAUUCUGACAUUCAAAAAGGA